AACGAACGCUGGCGGCAUGCCUAACACAUGCAAGUCGAACGAGACCUUCGGGUCUAGUGGCGCACGGGUGCGUAACGCGUGGGAACCUGCCCUUAGGUUCGGAAUAACUCCCCGAAAGGGGUGCUAAUACCGGAUAAUGUCUUCGGACCAAAGAUUUAUCGCCUUUGGAUGGGCCCGCGUUGGAUUAGCUAGUUGGUAGGGUAAAAGCCUACCAAGGCGACGAUCCAUAGCUGGUCUGAGAGGAUGAUCAGCCACACUGGGACUGAGACACGGCCCAGACUCCUACGGGAGGCAGCAGUGGGGACUAUUGGACACUGGGCGAAAGCCUGAUCCAGCAAUGCCGCGUGAGUGAUGAAGGCCUUAGGGUUGUAAAGCUCUUUUACCCGGGAUGAUAAUGACAGUACCGGGAGAAUAAGCUCCGGCUAACUCCGUG
Molecule: ribosomal RNA, 433 nt
Filed under: uncultured bacterium
Lineage: Bacteria
Description: partial 16S ribosomal RNA
Rfam family: Bacterial small subunit ribosomal RNA
Source: RNAcentral